Molecule: long non-coding RNA, 846 nt
Organism: Drosophila mojavensis
Lineage: Eukaryota; Metazoa; Arthropoda; Insecta; Diptera; Drosophilidae
Exons: 3
Source: RefSeq, a predicted model, not a curated record
AGAAUUUACUCAGUAGGCUUGAUAACAGUGACAGUUUUCGGUCAUGCUCUCAUGUAAAAAAAUUAUUCAAGCACAUAUUAUUAAUACGCGAACGUGAUUAAUAAAUAUACAUGUUUUAUUAGUAUAAGAGUUUUUCAACUUGAUUAAUUUAUGUUUGAUUAGCAGACAACAAUUUGAGUCGUCGAACACUCAAAUCUAGAGACAUGCAAGAUAGAAGAGCACAAAGAUCAGAUGAAGAAAGGGAACAAAUCAAUGCAGAUGUCCGUUUGAGCAUGGAGCAGUUACGUGCAUCACAAUUGCAAGAGACACGAGAUGACUGGAACCAGCAAAGACAAUUAGAAAGAAGGGAAGCGCACAGAUUCGUAGUCAACAGCCGUAGAGGAAUUGACCGACAACGUCAACAAGUAAAUCGAGCAUUUACAGCACAUUCAUUUCUUCACCUAGCAUUUCACUAUGAGCCUGAUGUUGAAUAUGACGCUCAUUCCAAAGUGGUCAUUGGACGAGGAAUGCCCGCACUGCCAUGCCUUUACAUUAAAAAAUGAGCUGAUUGGGAUAUAUUGCUCAUCAGGAAAGAUUCUUCGCUAUUCUUGCAGUCAAUUCGAAAAUUAAUUUCAUGCUUUCAAAUGACAUCGUUUGGAUCAACGGAAAUAGUUAAUAAUACUGCUGCAAAUGGUCAACAAUUUAAUUCCACAUUCAAAAUCAAAGGCCAAGUUUACCACAAUGGGCGAUUUUCCGUGAUAGGCGGCAUAAAGUCCAAAAAUUUAUGGUGAAUAAUAUUUAUAUUAAGAAAAAUUUGUUAUUCCUAAGUUGUUAACACUCCAAUUAGAUGAAAACAUUUGUUGUGAA